Molecule: long non-coding RNA, 5443 nt
Filed under: Homo sapiens (human)
Lineage: Eukaryota; Metazoa; Chordata; Mammalia; Primates; Hominidae
Description: long non-coding RNA NONHSAT172046.1
Source: RNAcentral
CCCAAGGCCCCACCUCCUCCCUCAGCGCAGCUUUGCAGGCGCUGGGGCUCCCAAAGGACGGAGCUUUGAAUCCACCUGGGAGGCUUAAGAGAAAGUGCUGAGUCCCCCAUGCCCUACCCCUGAGACUGCUGACAGGCAUCGCUGAGGGCUGCAGCUUUGGAAUCGGGCAUCUUCUGAGGAAGAGAAAGGCACCACAGCCACGGCACAGAAGACUAGUUCUAGGUGCAAUGUUUUAAGGGGAAGACUUACACUAUGAAGCUAGCCCAGAAGAGGGUGACUAGAGUACUGAGGAGUUUCUACCUGGAAGGGCUGUAAGGAAGACAACUGCUAUGUUGUGAGCGGCUCUAUGGAGAGGCCCAUGUGGAGGGAAGUGAGGAAGGCCUCUGGCCAACAGUCCAGGAGGAAGUGAAGCCCUCAGUCCAACAGCCUGUGUGGAACUGAACCCUGCAAACAACUCUGUGUGUGAGCUUGGAAGUGGAUCCAUAUUCAGUCAAACCUUGAGAUGGGACACCAUGCUCUGCUAACACUUGAUUGUGGUCCCAGCUAGGCCACUGCUGAAGUCUUGACUCAGAGAAACGAUGAUAUAGUAAAUGUUUGUUGUUUCAAGUUGGUAAGUUUUGGGAUAAUUUUUUAUAUAGUGAUAAUUUUUUAUAUACUUUAAAAUAACACAUUGCCCUAUCCUUUGGUUACACUUUUCUCUUGGAACUCUGCUUGCCCAUAUAUUACAGAAAUAUUUUUCAGAUCAUGGGCUGAAAGGUGGAUUAUGGAUGCAAUGUUUAAAUUUAGCAAUGUCAUUUAUGACUGUUCAUAUGAGCUUUGCUGCAUAAAAUGUUGAUAUUAAUUUGUUUCCCUUUAAGACAUUCUUAAUGUUUACCUCUCAGUAUUUUCUUUGUAAUCAAUUAAUGUAAGAUGAAUAUAGUUUGUAGGUUUUACCUUUCUUGAUUCGUAUACAAAACACACAACAUCCAACCAUUGUUAUUUAAAGAUUAUCUAGGAGGAGAUGAUGGAAACUCUGUUUUGGGCCACCUUCUUUACACAUUGGGUCUAUUUCCCCUAACUUGAGUAUAUAUUAAACUAGUGGGGGAUUGAGCUACAAAAAUGCUACUUGGUGAGAAUUUUAUUAAUACAAAUACUCAACUCUGAAGUUACGUUUUUGUGGAAAGUUAUCACUUUGGAAUUUGAAUUUUCUUGGAGCUAAGCCACUGGUAGUUGUAAAAGCUACACCUGUAAAUUUGCUCCCUAGAAGAUACUUUCGUUUAGUGACCACUUGUUUCUCUGUGGAUAAAUUCAAUUAUAAAUUACAAUCGAAUUGACGUUUUCAUAGCAUCCUUCACUCUCCAAGUAUCUCAAGUCCUCUGUGAAUUAUAAAGUAAUUACAGUGCUCAAAGGACAGUUUCAUAAUUGUGUCCAUGAGCACAGACUUUCCUCUAUGUUCGAGAAGGGCUCAUUCCCAGCCGGGAACAUUAAGUUGGAUUUUAUUGAGACUGGGGACUGCUAGUCCAGACAGCUGGGUGAUCCCCUGCGCUAUUUUGAAAAGUAUCCUGGGAUCUUUAAUUUCCACCUGGAUGGUCAGGGAGGUGAGAGAACGGCCCUCACUGGGUGUGACCUUGUAUCCCACUUGGGGUCUUGAACCAGGGGACCCCCAACCCCAGAGGUGAGACAUGCAAUAUGGUCAAUUAUACAACCUCUUAAUUAUUUUUUGCUGAAUCUCAAGUGAGUUCUCAUGGCCUGCUCUCUCCCGGGUGGGUUCAGAAGGUGGCCAAGAAGAAAUGUUAGAAAAUUCCCAGAGAGCCAUUUCAUGAGAAUGUUUUCUUUGGUUUAUACCUGAUACUGUUUUGUUUUUGUUGUUGCUUUUUAAUAACUUUUUUUUCUUUUUGUGGGGUCAUUUGCGUAAUACACAGGUGACGAACACUCAAGGUUAUUUGGUCGCAUGCCACCAAAUAACUUUCCUUUGGCACAUCUGCAGUGAAGGAGUCUUUCUGUCUGUCUCCUUUUGUUCCUCAUCAUCUAUUAGCUUGGCACAGCUGACUGAGCUGUUAAAUGAUUACUGCAUAUUUUGUACCUCACCUUGAGAGGCUUUGGUAUAAAAAGGUGCUAAUUAAGCUGAAGCUUCUGGCCCUCUUGCCUAUGUGGGCCCCAGGAAGCGAAGCAAAAAGACUUUAGGGAGCUGGAGCUUGUGUGUGUGUGUGUGUGUGUGUGUGUGUGUGUGUGUGUGUGUGUGUGUGUGUGUGUUUCGUUUUCAGCAUUUUGAGGAAUUGUUACUGGAACUUAUAAAAUAAUUGUUUUAGACCUUAUAAACACAGCAAAUUCUUCAAACUACGUAUGAGGCUGACUCAAAAAGCCACGUAAAGGUAGCUUGGCGAAUCAACUAACUGCUGACCAGUUUGUGGUGAUCGUAAGUCUAUAUAUGCUGGAUUUGGCGAUCGUAAGUCUAUAUAUGCUGGAUUUGAAUAUUUUCUGUAUUUAAAGAAAAAUAAGUACAUUCUAAGAAUAGUUGUCAUCUCCCUCUGUAGACUUGCCCCGUAGAUAUUUGAAAUGGGGAUUAACAUAUUUAAGAGUAGCAGGAAGUGCUAUUUCAUCAGUGUCUAGAAUGGGAGGCGAAUUCAGUCCCUGCCUGGACUUGUUGACUAGCUCGCUGGGUUGUGAAAACCACGGCAUUCUCCUGGGAAUUUGUUCCAGGGCACUGACUGCAUUUCUUCUGAAGCUAAAGCACUUAGCUUUGCUUCCAUGCCUUUUAAUAUAAUUUGUAGGCUUCAGCAGAUUUCUAAAGUACACCACUUGAUAUCUUUCACAGCUCAAGGUAAAUUCUGCAGCACGAACUUAUAGAAUUUUUUUCUUUUACCUGGGGUGAGAACAUACCUUUUCCUAGUGCUAUUUUUUUUUUCUGGGCUACCUUUCAUCUGUUUACAUGAAUUCCACUUCUUCUCGCUGUGUUAAAGAAAUCCCCUAAGCUGUCUACAUAGGUGUGAAACUUUUGGUUGUGAUUUCCUUGAAGUUAGUUGGAACUGGAACAUUUUUUUCUGUGUCCUGAAUGGCUCACACAUUCCCUAACACAGAAUGGAUACUCAGCGAACAGUUGUUGAAUCAGUGAACGGUAAUGGCUCAGUUCUGUCAGACAAUGGAUUGAAUUAUUUUUACACCUUUAAUUCACUCAUGGACUGAAUUAACCUACUCAUGGGCUGUUUGGGGCAUCAAGUGAUAUUUAUACAUUUCUGAAGAAUGUGGAAUCACCAGGGUUAACAGUGUUUGCAGGUGGCGUUCGAUUGCAGGGGCCCAAGGAACCACGGCUGAAUUCCGCAUGGACAUAGGCCAUUUUCCACCAGCAAAGUUAUGAGAACUUUUUUUGUUUUGGUAACUGAUGUGAAAUUUUCAGUUCCGAAUGACAUCCAGAAACUCUCCUUCUGCAGCAGAUGAAUGUUUUGAGGGAAUUUGAGAGGAGGGUUUGUCUUUUAUCUCUCACCUGCACGAGGACACUUGCAGUCUCUUAAGAGAUGUUCUCUUUUUGAAAUGGUGGAAGGACAGAAGCAUCAGCCAGCCCGUUCAUGCUUGGGGACAGAGAGGGAGCUCAGAGCUUAGGGGAGCACAGGUCACUCUAAUGAAUGACAGCUGUAAUAAUAAAGACAUGCCAUCCAUGCUACUUUUUGCAGAAACCAGAAACAUCCUUGUGAAAGUUAAAGGGAAAAGAAAAACGUGUACUUUGAGGGGGGUGUUAACGGGGGACAGGAGGUGGCGACAUAAAAGACUGGUUUAAUGUGUCUCGUUGUAGCCCCUAAGGCUUUACCUGACCCCAUCACUGUCACAACACCUUCUUCGGGACUGACAGUCUUGGUAAUUGAUGGGUUGGUGGGGGCUUUUUUCUGCAAACACAUUAAGGCAGGAGGGAAUACUCUGGCCCCCACCUCCCCACGCCUGGCACGGGGGACCUGGAGGCGAGCAGACACCAGGCCCGGCGGUGUUGGGGGCAGAAGGGAUCAAUUCUGUCAACCAGACUGCCCAGCUACUGUCAGGCACUGGGACCCUUCACCUGCUCCUUGGAGUCAUUAGAACUCCCAAAUCUCUUUGCAGGCCUUUUCUAUUAGACACAUACUCCCAUGUUUUGAUUUUUUGCUCCCAAAGUCAUUUUUUUAAAUAAUUACCUGCAUCGAACCACACUUACCAUCUGUGGGCUGAGAGCGGGCAAAUGAUUUAUUAGUCUUGGUUUCUAACGGUGCUGAGCAGCUUGGGAUCGAUCUUGCUGGUGACACACUCGGCAGAUGCACCGAUGGGUGGGAGGGUCAAUGUCAGGAUGAAGCUUCUUGCGGAGCUGACAUGCACGUGGGGACCCCAGGUGUGGUGUUUAGUUGGUAGACUGUGACAUUGCAAAAGUGGAGUCUCAAGCCAUGGCGGAUAACAGGCGGCAGAAAAAGCAGUGAGGGAGCUUCUUGGGAUGUUUUACUUUAAGUAGAAAGUAAAACUGUGCAUGAAAAGAGGGGACAGAGUAUGCAACCCAAAUCAUCGCCAAGGCUCUUGGUUUCUUCUGUGCACACUGCCUGCCUUGUAUCCAAGCGUUUGACUGUGCAGAGGCCAGUCAUACUGGGGGACCCUGAGCACUACCCUUGGCAUUUGGGUAUAUCCUGAUCAAUAUAGCCAUUUCCACUGCUUGACAUUAUGUUUUGGGGGCUAGUUUUUUAAAGAUCAAUGAUUGAAUUGCUGCUCGGCUGAUUGGAUAUGUCUUCUCGGAGACUCACCUGUCCUCCCCGAAGAGAUGCUGACUACACAACAGCAGUCACUGUGCUGGGCACACGGGCAGUGUUCAGGAGACGUGGCUUCCUUUCUUCUUCUUUCAUUUCUUCCUGCCCAGAACAGCAAGGCUGAGACUGAUAAUAAAAUUCCUGGAACAUGGAGAAACUCAUGUGGGGAGAAAAGAAGAAAUGUAUUGUGACUUCCAUGGGCUUUUGGCACUUUUGGACCUCCCUCCUCCUCUUUUCCAUAAAAAAUGUAUUUUAAGACAUAUUGGUAUAAAGAUGAGAUUAUUCAUAGUACAUAUUAAAAUGUUUUCCCCUACCUAAAAGUUUGUGGUUUUAUUGUCUUCUUGUUUUUAAAAUAAAUUAAAAUAUUUUCAAAGGCCGUUAGAAGAACCGUGGGCCCUGGGCUUGGUGCCUGCUGUGCCUCAUAAAUCAGGCCUGGAGAAGAGACAUCAGUGACAUUUUAGUGUCAGGUAGAAAAUGUAAAAUAUCAUGAUUGUUUUCCAAUGAUAUACUAAGUAAGACACAUAAGAUGUGUUUUAAUUUUUUUCUUGAUGUAUGCUGUUGUCUUUUAGUUAUAAAUGCUGAGUACUGUUAAAAGAUAAACUGAGGCACAAUAAAAUUUGAAGAGUUUAUUUGAGCAAACAAUGAUUUGUUACCGAAACACCAGGGGUUCAUCUGGGUCCUGCUGCUUGCCACACAGAAAGCCAAUCACUGAG